AUCAUCCUAAAUUGCGCUAAAUAAAUAUUUGCAUCUACUCCUCCCAAUAAUUUUGUGUGUUCUGUCAGAAACGCCCAUAUUUCAUAUUCAUAAAGGCAAACAUGCUAAAUGAGUUGGACGAGUUAUUUUGACCAUUUGAGAGAUGCGACCGCCAGUGCAUCCUGUUAGUAGAUAAACCUUUAACGAUGUUUUUGUG
Sphaeramia orbicularis (orbiculate cardinalfish) is the source of this 196-nucleotide long non-coding RNA. RefSeq lists it as uncharacterized. The transcript has 3 exons. The record is from RefSeq and is a predicted model, not a curated record. NCBI's taxonomy places the organism in Eukaryota, Metazoa, Chordata, Actinopteri, Kurtiformes, Apogonidae.